GGCGUAAACAAAGGGAAGCGAGACGGUGACGUUAAGCAAAUCCCAGAAAUAACGUCCCAGUUCGGAUUGUAGUCUGCAACCCGACUACAUGAAGCUGGAAUCGCUAGUAAUCGCGAAUCAGAAUGUCGCGGUGAAUACGUUCCCGGGUCUUGUACACACCGCCCGUCACACCAUGGGAGUCGGAAAUGCCCGAAGUCAGUGACCCAACCGUAAGGAGGGAGCUGCCGAAGGUGGAGCCGGUAACUGGGGUGAAGUCGUAACAAGGUAUC
RNAcentral lists this ribosomal RNA (269 nucleotides) under uncultured bacterium. RNAcentral describes it as "partial 16S ribosomal RNA". It matches the Rfam family "Bacterial small subunit ribosomal RNA", at positions 1232 to 1500 of the family's 1533-position model. The record is from RNAcentral.